Molecule: ribosomal RNA, 333 nt
Filed under: uncultured Desulfovibrionales bacterium
Lineage: Bacteria; Pseudomonadati; Thermodesulfobacteriota; Desulfovibrionia; Desulfovibrionales
Description: bacterial SSU rRNA
Rfam family: Bacterial small subunit ribosomal RNA
Source: RNAcentral
CUAUACAUGCAAGUUGAGCGGCAGCGCGGGGUGCUUGCACCCUGGCGGCGAGCAGCGGACGGCUGAGUAACACGUAGGAACGUACCCCAAAGUGAGGAAUAACUGCCCGAGAGGGUGGCUAAUACCGCAUAUGCUCUUAGGAGUAAAGCUUCGGCGCUUUGGGAACGGCCUGCGUCCGAUUAGCUAGUUGGUAAGGUAAUGGCUUACCAAGGCGACGAUCGGUAGCUGGUCUGAGAGGAUGAUCAGCCAGACUGGGACUGAGAACGGCCCAGACUCCUACGGGAGGCAGCAGUAGGGAAUUUUCCACAAUGGGCGAAAGCCUGAUGGAGCAAC